Danio rerio (zebrafish) is the source of this 71-nucleotide non-coding RNA. Lineage: Eukaryota; Metazoa; Chordata; Actinopteri; Cypriniformes; Danionidae. The record is from Rfam.
GCAUUGGUGGUUCAGUGGUAGAAUUCUCGCCUUCCACGCGGGAGACCUGGGUCAGAUUCCUGGCCAUUGCA